Molecule: ribosomal RNA, 253 nt
Filed under: uncultured bacterium
Lineage: Bacteria
Description: partial 16S ribosomal RNA
Rfam family: Bacterial small subunit ribosomal RNA
Source: RNAcentral
UACGUAGGGUGCGAGCGUUGUCCGGAAUUACUGGGCGUAAAGAGCUCGUAGGUGGUUUGUCGCGUUGUUCGUGAAAACUCACAACUCAAUUGUGGGCGUGCGGGCGAUACGGGCAGACUAGAGUACUGCAGGGGAGACUGGAAUUCCUGGUGUAGCGGUGGAAUGCGCAGAUAUCAGGAGGAACACCGGUGGCGAAGGCGGGUCUCUGGGCCGAUACUGACGCUGAGGAGCGAAAGCGUGGGGAGCGAACAGG